GAAAUGCGAUAAGUAAUGUGAAUUGCAGAAUUCAGUGAAUCAUCGAAUCUUUGAACGCACAUUGCGCCCGCCAGUAUUCUGGCGGGCAUGCCUGUUCGAGCGUCAUUUCAACCAUCAAGCCCCCGGCUUGUGUUGGGGACCUGCGGCUGUCCGCAGGCCCUGAAAAACAGUGGCGGGCUCGCUGUCACACCGAGCGUAGUAGCAUACAUUCUCGCUCAGGGCGUGCUGCGGGUUCCGGCCGUUAAACGACCUUCAUAACCCAAGGUUGACCUCGGAUCAGGUAGGAAGACCCGCUGAACUUAAGC
Molecule: unclassified non-coding RNA, 305 nt
Filed under: plant metagenome
Description: partial contains 5.8S ribosomal RNA, internal transcribed spacer 2, and large subunit ribosomal RNA
Rfam family: 5.8S ribosomal RNA (bases 1-105)
Source: RNAcentral